Molecule: ribosomal RNA, 253 nt
Filed under: uncultured bacterium
Lineage: Bacteria
Description: partial 16S ribosomal RNA
Rfam family: Bacterial small subunit ribosomal RNA
Source: RNAcentral
UACGUAGGGUGCAAGCGUUGUCCGGAAUUAUUGGGCGUAAAGAGCUCGUAGGCGGUUUGUCGCGUCUGCUGUGAAAACUCGGGGCUUAACUCCGGGCCUGCAGUGGGUACGGGCAGACUAGAGUGCGGUAGGGGAGACUGGAAUUCCUGGUGUAGCGGUGAAAUGCGCAGAUAUCAGGAGGAACACCGGUGGCGAAGGCGGUUCUCUGGACCGUACCUGACGCUGAGGAGCGAAAGCGUGGGGAGCGAACAGG